CUUUCUUUGCUGGCGACCGGCGCACGGGUGAGUAACACGUAUCCAACCUGCCCUUUACUCGGGGAUAGCCUUUCGAAAGAAAGAUUAAUACCCGAUAGUAUAAUGAUUCCGCAUGGUUUCAUUAUUAAAGGACUCCGGUAAAGGAUGGGAUGCGUUCCAUUAGGUUGUUGGUGAGGUAACGGCUCACCAAGCCUUCGAUGGAUAGGGGUUCUGAGAGGAAGGUCCCCCACAUUGGAACUGAGACACGGUCCAA
Molecule: ribosomal RNA, 253 nt
Filed under: uncultured bacterium
Lineage: Bacteria
Description: partial 16S ribosomal RNA
Rfam family: Bacterial small subunit ribosomal RNA
Source: RNAcentral